Molecule: ribosomal RNA, 333 nt
Filed under: uncultured bacterium
Lineage: Bacteria
Description: bacterial SSU rRNA
Rfam family: Bacterial small subunit ribosomal RNA
Source: RNAcentral
GAUGAACGCUGGCGGCGUGCUUAACACAUGCAAGUCGAACGGAGAUGUUGUGUGAGUGGAGAGUGCUUGCACUUAACAAUCUUUCAACAUCUUAGUGGCGGACGGGUGAGUAACGCGUGGGUAACCUGCCUCAUACAGGGGGAUAACACUUAGAAAUAGGUGCUAAUACCGCAUAAGCGCACGGAAUCGCAUGAUUUUGUGUGAAAAACUCCGGUGGUAUGAGAUGGACCCGCGUCUGAUUAGCUAGUUGGUGAGGUAACGGCCCACCAAGGCGACGAUCAGUAGCCGGCCUGAGAGGGCGGACGGCCACACUGGGACUGAGACACGGCCCAG